Oreochromis niloticus (Nile tilapia) is the source of this 941-nucleotide long non-coding RNA. RefSeq lists it as uncharacterized. The record is from RefSeq and is a predicted model, not a curated record. NCBI's taxonomy places the organism in Eukaryota, Metazoa, Chordata, Actinopteri, Cichliformes, Cichlidae. The transcript is spliced from 2 exons.
UGUAAAUAUUUCAUAUGUGUUUAAAAGACAAAAAAAGAGUUCAAAUGGUUAAAAAUGUGUUUAAAAUCACAAUAAAUAGAAGUCAAUCAUAAUUUAAGUGUUCAUGGAGUUAUAAGUUACAAGAAAUCCAAAGGUUUGUUAUCUAAUGUGAAACAAGGAAAACUCUGUAUUGCUUCAAGUUGUUUUACGAGUUCAUUUUGGGUUGUCAAUCUUGUAUUUUCUUUUAUCCCAUUGGUUGAUGUAAACCUAUUGUCCAAUCAGAUGUAGGGGAGGCGGGAUCUAAGUGAGGCGGAAGGAAAAAACACUAACUAAGCUAGUGAGAGUCGGCAGCAGCACGUUACCGGAGGAGGUUGUGUAUCAGAGCUAAUAGUCAAAACAAUAGCCGUGGAUGCAGAGUCUACGUUCCUGUUAUGGACUGUUUUACCCUGUGAUGAUGGACCGAGAGGAAUUCUCUGGACCCUUCUGCUGUGGAUAGGAUUUCCGUGUGUUUGUCCCAGUGUACUCAGCAGCCCGGGUAUACCGCUAAUUCCGACCACGUUGCCGAGUGGAGGCCGCAUGGUCACCAACCGAGCCUGCCCCUCAGCUUGCCCUCGCACUUAGCCCAAAGGAUUUGUGAGUAGACCUGAGCACGUGCGGUUUGUUUUCUGCUUGUUUAUCAAGUGAAGCGGCCAUUUGUGUUUUCUGGUCCAACGAGCCCGAGCAACGAUCAGGCCUGCAACGGUUUCAGUGAAUGAGCUCACAAAGGUUACAAAUUUUGAACUGAACUCCAUGGGAAUAUUUUGGAUAAAUGUGUUGUUUCUAAAACAUUGACUGUGAAUUGUGAAGAGAAAAAAGAAACAUCCAAUUGAAUUGUAAGGAAACACUUAAGAACUUGGAAUAUUGUAUUUUUAUUUAUUUAAAUCAUAUUUUAUUUUGACUAAAUCUUACAAUUUGAAUUUAAA